CUCUAAGCUUCAGUCAUACGAGACCGUACCGCAAACCGACACAGGUGGGCGAGAUGAGUAUUCUAAGGCGCUUGAGAGAACUCGGGAGAAGGAACUCGGCAAAUUGGUACCGUAACUUCGGGAAAAGGUACGCCCCGGUAGCUUGACCACUUUACUGUGGAAGGGCGAAAGGGUUGCAAUAAACUGGUGGCUGCGACUGUUUAAUAAAAACACAGCACUCUGCAAACACGAAAGUGGACGUAUAGGGUGUGACGCCUGCCCGGUGCUGGAAGAUUAAAUGAUGGGGUGCAAGCUCUUGAUUGAAGUCCCAGUAAACGGCGGCCGUAACUAUAACGGUCCUAAGGUAGCGAAAUUCCUUGUCGGGUAAGUUCCGACCUGCACGAAUGGCGUAACGAUGGCCACACUGUCUCCUCCCGAGACUCAGCGAAGUUGAAAUGUUUGUGAUGAUGCAAUCUACCCGCGGCUAGACGGAAAGACCCCAUGAACCUUUACUGUAGCUUUGCAUUGGACUUUGAAUCAAUCUGUGUAGGAUAGGUGGGAGGCUUUGAAGCGGGGACGCCAGUUCUCGUGGAGCCAUCCUUGAAAUACCACCCUGGUUUGUUUGAGGUUCUAACCUUGGUCCGUUAUCCGGAUCGGGGACAGUGCAUGGUAGGCAGUUUGACUGGGGCGGUCUCCUCCUAAAGUGUAACGGAGGAGUUCGAAGGUACGCUAGGUACGGUCGGACAUCGUGCUAAUAGUGCAAUGGCAUAAGCGUGCUUAACUGCGAGACCGACAAGUCGAGCAGGUACGAAAGUAGGACAUAGUGAUCCGGUGGUUCUGUAUGGAAGGGCCAUCGCUCAACGGAUAAAAGGUACUCUGGGGAUAACAGGCUGAUACCGCCCAAGAGUUCAUAUCGACGGCGGUGUUUGGCACCUCGAUGUCGGCUCAUCACAUCCUGGGGCUGAAGUAGGUCCCAAGGGUAUGGCUGUUCGCCAUUUAAAGUGGUACGCGAGCUGGGUUUAGAACGUCGUGAGACAGUUCGGUCCCUAUCUGCCGUGGGCGCUGGAGAAUUGAGGGGGGCUGCUCCUAGUACGAGAGGACCGGAGUGGACGCAUCACUGGUGUUCGGGUUGUCAUGCCAAUGGCACUGCCCGGUAGCUAAAUGCGGAAGAGAUAAGUGCUGAAAGCAUCUAAGCACGAAACUUGCCCCGAGAUGAGUUCUCCCUGAGACUUUAAGUCUCCUGAAGGAACGUUGAAGACGACGACGUUGAUAGGUCGGGUGUGUAAGCGCAGCGAUGCGUUGAGCUAACCGAUACUAAUGAACCGUGAGGCUUAACCUU
Molecule: ribosomal RNA, 1318 nt
Filed under: hot springs metagenome
Description: bacterial LSU rRNA
Rfam family: Bacterial large subunit ribosomal RNA
Source: RNAcentral